GGUAUAGCUCUUCAAAUCUUCCGGACGAUGAG
RNAcentral lists this non-coding RNA (32 nucleotides) under Geobacter sulfurreducens KN400. The record is from RNAcentral. Lineage: Bacteria; Pseudomonadati; Thermodesulfobacteriota; Desulfuromonadia; Geobacterales; Geobacteraceae.